Molecule: long non-coding RNA, 237 nt
Filed under: Elaeis guineensis (African oil palm)
Lineage: Eukaryota; Viridiplantae; Streptophyta; Magnoliopsida; Arecales; Arecaceae
Description: long non-coding RNA (EGUI_LNC041424)
Source: RNAcentral
ACUGAUAACUUAUUACGAUGAAAAUCAUAUCCAUUGUUAAAAGCAUAAAGACUUGGCCGUCGCUAAUAAUUUGUCCUAAAAUCCUUCGAUCCCCAAUGCGCUCGAUUCUAUUCCUCGCUGCCUUCCCUUUCUUCCCCCACCUCCAGUCCCCCUUCUCCCCCACCGCGUCGCUAGAGCCCCCGACCUCCUCCCCCAGCCCCCACGCCGCCGUCUCCACCUCAGAUCUACCAUCCCUGC